GACGAACGCUGGCGGCGUGCUUAACACAUGCCAGUCGAACGGAAAGGCCCUGCUUUUGUGGGGUGCUCGAGUGGCGAACGGGUGAGUAACACGUGAGUAACCUGCCCUUGACUUUGGGAUAACUUCAGGAAACUGGGGCUAAUACCGGAUAGGAGCUCCUGCUGCAUGGUGGGGGUUGGAAAGUUUCGGCGGUUGGGGAUGGACUCGCGGCUUAUCAGCUUGUUGGUGGGGUAGUGGCUUACCAAGGCUUUGACGGGUAGCCGGCCUGAGAGGGUGACCGGCCACAUUGGGACUGAGAUACGGCCCAGACUCCUACGGGAGGCAGCAGUGGGGAAUAUUGCACAAUGGGCGGAAGACUGAUGCAGCAACGCCGCGUGCGGGAUGACGGCCUUCGGGUUGUAAACCGCUUUCGCCUGUGACGAAGCGUGAGUGACGGUAAUGGGUAAAGAAGCACCGGCUAACUACGUG
Molecule: ribosomal RNA, 468 nt
Filed under: uncultured bacterium
Lineage: Bacteria
Description: partial 16S ribosomal RNA
Rfam family: Bacterial small subunit ribosomal RNA
Source: RNAcentral